AACGAACGCUGGCGGCGUGGCUAAGACAUGCAAGUCGAACGGUACGUUGUAGCAAUAUGACGUACAGUGGCGGACGGGUGAGUAAUAAAUAGGUAACGUAUCUCGGACACAGGGAUAGCGUCGGGGCGAAAGCCCCUUUGCGAAAGUGACGGUAAUACCUGAUGACGUCCUUGAGGGGCAUCCCUCAAGGACCAAAAGGUGGGCCUUACGGCCUGCUGGUCUGGGCGCGGCCUAUUCCCAUCAGCUUGUUGGUGAGGUAACGGCUCACCAAGGCAACGACGGGUAACCGGACUGAGAGGUUGGCCGGUCACAUCGGGACUGAGACACUGCCCGGACAUCUACGGAUGGCUGCAGUAACGAAUAUUCCGCAAUGGGCG
Molecule: ribosomal RNA, 377 nt
Filed under: uncultured bacterium
Lineage: Bacteria
Description: bacterial SSU rRNA
Rfam family: Bacterial small subunit ribosomal RNA
Source: RNAcentral